Molecule: ribosomal RNA, 116 nt
Filed under: Pteropus alecto (black flying fox)
Lineage: Eukaryota; Metazoa; Chordata; Mammalia; Chiroptera; Pteropodidae
Source: RNAcentral
GUCUAUGGCCAUGCCGUCCUGAACAAGCCUGAUGUCUGACUUCAGAAGCUAAGCAGGGUCGGGCUUGGUUAGCACUUGGAUGGGAGACCACCUAGGAAGACCAUGUGCUGUAGACA